This 340-nucleotide ribosomal RNA is filed under the name uncultured bacterium. Its description in RNAcentral is "bacterial SSU rRNA". It matches the Rfam family "Bacterial small subunit ribosomal RNA", at positions 8 to 352 of the family's 1533-position model. The record is from RNAcentral.
AGAGUUUGAUCCUGGCUCAGGUUGAACGCUGGCGGCAUGCUUUACACAUGCAAGUCGAACGGUAACAGGCCUUCGGGUGCUGACGAGUGGCGAACGGGUGAGUAAUGCAUCGGAACGUGCCCGGUAGUGGGGGAUAGCCCGGCGAAAGCCGNAUUAAUACCGCAUACGACCUACGGGUGAAAGGGGGGGAUCGCAAGACCUCUCGCUAUUGGAGCGGCCGAUGUCAGAUUAGGUAGUUGGUGGGGUAAAGGCCUACCAAGCCUGCGAUCUGUAGCUGGUCUGAGAGGACGACCAGCCACACUGGGACUGAGACACGGCCCAGACACCUACGGGUGGCUGC